Molecule: RNA transcript, 3284 nt
Organism: Arachis stenosperma
Lineage: Eukaryota; Viridiplantae; Streptophyta; Magnoliopsida; Fabales; Fabaceae
Gene name: psbP domain-containing protein 2, chloroplastic-like
Exons: 6
Source: RefSeq, a predicted model, not a curated record
UCCACAAUUCACAACACUCUUCUUCUAGAACCUUCUUCUCAAUCCCCUCUUUCAAUUCUGUUACCUGCAUUCUUCCCACUGAACCUCACAACAACCACAUCCUGCAUUUAUCAACAUUUUUUACUAAGAGGAAGCUCCAUCUUACUCUUCUUCUCACAACUUUUCUUUCGAGCAAUUUAUCAAACACUAGUGGUUCAUUCUUGAUGGCUCAAGAGUUGGACUUGGAGCUUCACAGAUACACUGAUUCGAAGGAAGGUUUCACUCUUCUUAUACCGUCUUCUUGGACUAAGGUUGAUAAAGCUGGGGCAACUGCUUUGUUUCAAGAUGCAAGUAUGGGGAGCAACAACAUUGGGGUUGUCGUGAACCCGGUUCGUCUUGCAAACUUUGGAGACUUCAGGAGCCCCAAGUUUGUAGCUGAUAAGCAUUUGCAAGCAGAAAGGUGUAAGGAAAUCAAGAAAGAAGAAGAAAAAGAAGAAGAAGAAGAAGGAGGAGAAGAAGAGAAGAAGAAGAAUGAAUGAAGAGCAAUCAGAUUCUGCAAUGAUGGAUCCGUGGGAUAUGAUGGAUCCGUGGGAUAUGAUAGACCUGGAUGCCGAUGAACCACCGCAGUUUCACUUUGAGUCUCCGUCUCUGCCUGAGCCGGUCUGGAAUGGGGACGAAAACAAGAUUUUUGUUGCCAAUGUAGGUGGUUAUCAACCACCUCAGCCCCAGCCCCAGCCCCAGCCGUGUGCCAUGGACGUGAGUGGUAAUCAACCUCCUCAGCCGGUUAUUCAUGAGUGUUUGCCGGAAGCUAUGGAGAACCGCCGGCGGAAGGAGGAAGCUAUGAAGAUGACAGAGCAGUAUUAUGGAAGCCCAUUAUCUGGUUAUCAACCAUUUCAGUCUGAGCCUCAGCCGUUUGCCAUUGACGAAAAUGUUGUGUUUAAGAAAAGGAAUCCAAGCAAGAAGCUUAUUAAGAAGACUUAAAGCAAGAAUGAGUCAAGAGAAUUCACAUAUGUUGAAGAUGAUGGAGGCGGAGCUGUUUGCCGACGACCACAAUGUGGGUGGUAAUCCACCGCCUCAGCUUCAGCCUCAGCUUGAUUGGGAUAUGGAGAAGAUGUGACGUCGGUGGUCAUCAACCACUUCAACCUCAACUUCAGCCCAAGCUGCAGUCGGAUAAUCAGCCAUCUCAUUCUUGGGACGACAACAAGUAGUUCGAUGAGUGUUUGCCGGAAGCUAUGGAGAACCGCCGGCGGGAGGCGGAAGCUAUGCAGAUGACAGAGCAGUCGGAUAAUCAACCACCUCAUUCUUGGGACUACAAUAAACAUUUCGAUGAGUGUUUGCCAGAAGCUAUGGAGAAUCGCCGGCAGGAGGCGGAAGCUAUGAAGAUGACAGAGUACUAUUAUGGAAGCCCAUUAUCUGGUUAUCAACCACUUCAGUCUGAGCCUCAGCCGUGUGCCAUUGACGUGUGUGGUAAUCAACCACCUCAGCUACUGUCUCAGCCUCAUCCUUGGUCUCGGCCACUUCAGUCUGAGCCUCAACUGAUCAUCAUCACUGCAAGGAGGUAGUGCUGGCCGCAGAGGAGGAGGCAGCACCAACAAAGAGUGGAUCUCAUUGGACCCCAGAUGAGCAUAGGUUAUUUCUUAGAGGGUACCAACAAGAAGGUUUACACUGGACAAGAAUUUCAGAAUAUUAUGGCAAAACAAAAACUCCUAGUCAAAUUUCCAGUCAUGCUCAGAAAUAUUUUUUACAUCAAAAAGAAUUAGCAGAAGGAAAAAAGCUAAGGAAAAGCAUUUUUGAUGUAAUUUGAUCAUCAAAUUGUGCCCUAAUCCGAGGUUUUUAAUGGAUGGAGGAUUUGCUUAUAGGAGGAAGAACAUGUAAAUGGUCUAAAGAUUUUUAUUUAGGUUGCACAUAUCUAGUUCGAGUUAGUUGUUAGCUAGUUUUGUAAAUGAACAAUGACCAGAAGAUAGGUUUGAAAAAAUACUGAUGUAGGAACAUGCGAUCAUUAUAGAUAUAAUUGUGAUUCAUAACCCUUUUAUCAAUAAUAUUUGAUUUUCUAGUUCUCCGGCCUUGAUGGCAAUGUCGAAGGGGAUGGUGAACUGGAUUUUAUCUAAAGUCUGAUGGCUAUGCUGAAGGGACUUUUGGUAGAAAAGAUGUAUCUUUUUAAAAGAUUAUUAGUUUCAAAUAUAUUAAUUAAACAUAUAUGUAAAAAAAUUUUAAAAGUAUUUCAUCCAUAAAAAUUAGUUAUAAAAUAUUUUUAAGUAAUUUUAUACUUUUAUUAAUGAUGACUUCUUUUUCAUAUUUUAUUUGGUUGUCAUUGAAGUUGAGAGUUAGUAUAAGAAGAGCUUGACACUAAUUAGAUUAUAGACAAAGUAUUUGAUACUAAUUAGCUUGUUAAGUAUUUACACAAUUACUCCAAUUAACUUGCUGUGCUGUAUUUAUAUGAUGCCAGUAAUAAGAUUUUGUUUUAUUAAUGUUAUUAUUGCCUCUUUUUUAUGAACGAGAAUAAGUGACUUUUGUAACAACACUUUUGUUCUUAUUUAUCGCGAAAAUCAUAUUUACCUUGACAGCCUUAAAUAAGAAAAUGAAGACAAGAUUUAAUAGAGUUAUCUGUUGUUCAUAGAAGAAAAUUAUUUUCAUUCCAUAAAUGAGAAAAGAAAAGGCAAAUUCAUAGAACAUACUUCAAUUUAAGCUAUAUAUUUUCCAUGAUAUCUUUCUAUGUUAUAUAGUGUGUACACUUUCUAUAUAUAAUUAUUGAAUAAAUUUUUAUGUAAGUUGUUUUAUUUGAUCACAAUAAAUAUGAUUCCCAAUUUAUCUACUCCUUGAAGAGAUCAGUUAUUUUCAUAUUCUUUGCCACCAUCAUUGAUUUUUUUAUUGAAAUUGUUCAUUAAAUAUGCCAGUUUUUACUUGUCCUACUUAUUUCAUCUAUUUUUUGUUCUCGUGCUUGAGUAGUGUUCAAGCCAUUCUUUCUCUUUUGAUUUCCCAUUAAUCUUUUUAUGCCAUUUUUCCUUGGAGAACGUUUGCCAUAGGUAUUUUUCUCAACUCCUUGCUUCACCUCUUUGUUUCAUUGUAGAACCUUUAAGAUCUUGAGUGGACUUGGCGCUUUAGUUUAAUUUAGUGCAUUAUUCUUGUUAUGAUUCCAAUAAGCUAAUUUAGCUACGAGAGUUUAAUUUAAUUUACACUUGAAGCUAUUUUGUUGCUGCGUUACAUCAUCAGUUUUUACUUUUUAUGGUAGACAAGAUUCACUUCAAUUUUUUUUUUACUUAGAAUUUGAUGCAUAUGUUGCUCCUAGUAAGCAAUGAAUGUUAUUU